Molecule: ribosomal RNA, 492 nt
Filed under: uncultured bacterium
Lineage: Bacteria
Description: partial 16S ribosomal RNA
Rfam family: Bacterial small subunit ribosomal RNA
Source: RNAcentral
GAUGAACGCUAGCUAUAGGCUUAACACAUGCAAGUCGAGGGGAAACGGCAUUAUGUGCUUGCACAUUUUGGACGUCGACCGGCGCACGGGUGAGUAUCGCGUAUCCAACCUGCCCUUUACUUGGGGAUACCCCGUUGAAAGACGGCCUAAUACCCGAUGUAAUUCAUUGAUUGCAUCAGAUAUUAAUAAAAGAUUUAUCGGUAAAGGAUGGGGAUGCGUCUGAUUAGCUUGUUGGUGAGGUAACGGCUCACCAAGGCGACGAUCAGUAGGGGUUCUGAGAGGAAGGUCCCCCACAUUGGAACUGAGACACGGUCCAAACUACUACGGGAGGCAGCAGUGAGGAAUAUUGGUCAAUGGGCGCAAGCCUGAACCAGCCAAGUAGCGUGCAGGAAGACGGCCCUAUGGGUUGUAAACUGCUUUUAUACGAGAAUAAUUUGAUGCACGUGUGCGUUAUUGCAUGUAUCGUAUGAAUAAGGACCGGCUAAUUCCGUG